Molecule: ribosomal RNA, 540 nt
Filed under: uncultured bacterium
Lineage: Bacteria
Description: bacterial SSU rRNA
Rfam family: Bacterial small subunit ribosomal RNA
Source: RNAcentral
GGGGAAUAUUGCACAAUGGGCGCAAGCCUGAUGCAGCGACGCCGCGUGGGGGAUGGAAGGCCUUCGGGUUGUAAACUCCUUUCGCCCGGGACGAAGCCCACCUUGGUGGGUGACGGUACCGUGGAGAAGAAGCACCGGCUAACUACGUGCCAGCAGCCGCGGUAAUACGUAGGGUGCAAGCGUUGUCCGGAUUUACUGGGCGUAAAGAGCUCGUAGGUGGUGUGUCGCGUCGUCUGUGAAAUUCCGGGGCUUAACUCCGGGCGUGCAGGCGAUACGGGCACGACUAGAGUGCUGUAGGGGUAACUGGAAUUCCUGGUGUAGCGGUGAAAUGCGCAGAUAUCAGGAGGAACACCGAUGGCGAAGGCAGGUUACUGGGCAGUUACUGACGCUGAGGAGCGAAAGCAUGGGGAGCGAACAGGAUUAGAUACCCUGGUAGUCCAUGCUGUAAACGGUGGGCGCUAGGUGUGGGCUGUGUGUUUGCCGUCUGUGCCGUAGCUAACGCAUUAAGCGCCCCGCCUGGGGAGUACGGCCGCAAGGCUA